Molecule: ribosomal RNA, 253 nt
Filed under: uncultured bacterium
Lineage: Bacteria
Description: partial 16S ribosomal RNA
Rfam family: Bacterial small subunit ribosomal RNA
Source: RNAcentral
UACGGGGGGGGCAAGCGUUGUUCGGAAUUACUGGGCGUAAAGGGCUCGUAGGCGGCCAACUAAGUCCGACGUGAAAUCCCAAGGCUUAACCUUGGAACUGCGUCUGAUACUGGAUGGCUUGGAUUCGGGAGAGGAAUGCGGAAUUCCAGGUGUAGCGGUGAAAUGCGUAGAUAUCUGGAGGAACACCGGUGGCGAAGGCGGCAUUCUGGACCGAUAUUGACGCUGAGGAGCGAAAGCCAGGGGAGCAAACGGG